This 337-nucleotide ribosomal RNA is filed under the name uncultured Pseudomonadota bacterium. Its description in RNAcentral is "bacterial SSU rRNA". It matches the Rfam family "Bacterial small subunit ribosomal RNA", at positions 29 to 351 of the family's 1533-position model. The record is from RNAcentral. Lineage: Bacteria; Pseudomonadati; Pseudomonadota.
AACAAACGCUGGCGGCGUGCCUAACACAUGCAAGUCGGACGCGAAAGGGCUUUCGGGCCUGAGUAAAGUGGCGCACGGGUGAGUAACGCGUGGGUAAUCUGCCUCUAAGUUGGGAAUAACUCAUCGAAAGGUGGGCUAAUACCGAAUAAUGCUGCUUCACUGUGGUGAAGUAGCCAAAGAUGGCCUCUGCUUGCAUGCUAUCGCUAAGAGAUGAGCCCGCGUACCAUUAGCUAGUUGGUAGGGUAACGCCUACCAAGGCUACGAUGGUUAGCUGAUCUGAGAGGAUGAUCAGCCACACUGGAACUGAGACACGGUCCAGACCUCCGUACGGGUGCUG